This 70-nucleotide transfer RNA is filed under the name Tectus virgatus. Its description in RNAcentral is "tRNA-Arg". The record is from RNAcentral. Lineage: Eukaryota; Metazoa; Mollusca; Gastropoda; Trochida; Tegulidae.
UGCGAGAAGCGAAAAAUGUUGCAAACGGUUUCGGCCCGUUAAUUGGCGGUGGGAGUCCGCCCUUGCAAAU